GCCGGGGAAGGCCGCGGCGUGCUGAGGGGCCGGUCUGCGGCUCCGCACCGCAGCAAACGCGGAACCCGGCUCCGAGCACACGGACAGGCUUCAGGCUGUGACCAGGCGGCCUCUACUGGGGAGACCUCGGUUCGGCGGGAGGGCGGCCGGGCGGAAACAGCCACCGAGCAGUGGGGCCUCCCGGGCUGCCGCGGACCCACGCCGCCAGGGACGGGGAGAAGCUUUGCUGAGGGGAGUGGGAGGUCAUCGAUCUCGGCUGCCUGAGACAUCCCCGGCGUCCCCGCGCGAGCUGUGGGUCGCUAAUCCGUGGGUGCCCUUGACCCUGUCGCCAGUGUUGAGCUGUCCCCCGGGUGAGCGCAGGGAUGCGGGCCCGCUGCAGGUGAGGCACGGCACCGAAGAGCAGGAGGGCGCCGGGCUGACAUGGAUGCUGGGUGUGUGGUCUGGAGCAACGGAGGGUGUCGGCGCACCCGGCCACAAUGGAGGGCUAGAGUUAGUCACUUCCAUAGGCCCCAAAAUAUCCCCGCCAGAUGGCUGACGAAGUGGGACGAGCCCUGGUUCCCUCAUAAAUAACCUGGGGCUUGUGUCCCACCUAACUUUGUAAUGAAAGCCAGAGUCAGGCCAGUUGAAAAAGCAAAAAGGAUGAAGAAGGAGCAGGUGAGGUGGCCACUGAAACGAGGAAAGGCCAGGACUUGGAGCCAGUGCUGUGAUCAACAUGGCAAAGUCCCUGACAGGAAAAAGGAAGCUGGUUUUGGCAGAGCAGUGCUGGUGGAGAGACAAAGGUCCCAGCGCAGUCACGUCAGCUGUCAGAAGCUGUCUGAGGAUCUGGGCUCUUCUGAGGUGAUACGUAAUUUCCAGCCGAUCCUGAAAUCAUGUUUUAGCUUGCUUGUGAUAGAUGUUAGGGAAGUGGAGUGCAUUGUGCAAUUUGCCGUGAUGCAGAGCAAUAUGGUGGUCGGUGCCUUGGAGCCACGUGGUAAACUGGAGCAAGGUUCUGCCCCCCCCUUGGAAAGCCAUUUGGUGAACAGACAGCAAGUGUUGGCUCCGUGGGUUGGGCUGACGAGAGGCAGUGGCUGCAGCUGGUGUGUACUGCCUGUAGAUGAGGUAUGUCAGAAAUAGCUAGGCAUCUCUCCAACUUGCUUUAAACUGAUACAAAUGCAACUGAAUUCCUUGGACUUUCAGCAUUGUUAAACUGGGCUAAAUGAGAAGAGAGUUAUUUUCACAAACUUCAGAAAUGCAAACAAUAACUUCCUGCCACAAAGAAACUGAAGAGUUAAAGACUUUUCGCAUUCGAUGCAUAUUCCUUCAGCAAACAUAGCGGAGAUGAAGGUCACAGACUUGAAACUCAAUAAUCCAGCUACGGAACAAAUAAGAAAAGCACCAAGGUACAAAUAUGGUGCCUGGCUAAAUCCUAAUGAUAGUUAUUAAUUCAUGGGCUGAUUUGGCUUCAAAAGUCUUUUGUUCUUUCCCUCUCUUUCCCACAUGUCAUUUGGGAUACAAUUAAUGGUCUUGGUCUCAGCUUUUACUAAGUUUUAAGUUCUGCUAAUGUGCUGAGCUACUUCAGGUUGUCUUGACAGACUGUUCCCCAGUGUGGUCAACAAUUACCGAGUUCAACAAAACCCAUCUUCAGGUAUAUGAAGCAUAUAUUUUAUGAUUGCAGCACUUUGCCUGCAGCACAAAACAAUUUAAUGAAGGUUGUGGCCCAGCAACAAAGCUGCAGAAAAGAGACAAAGCUGCAGAAGAGUGGUGGUGGUAAGGAAACUCUGGAAGACAAUGACUAUUUAUAUUACAAUAUUGUCUACAACAUGCAAGAAAUGUUUUCCAAGCAUAUAAAGACUCUAUUCAUUAACAAAGAGUUUGUUCCUUAGCAUACAGCGUAAGGACAAAGCACCACAAAAAAGCGACAUAUGGUAUACAAAACAAAAUGACCACCAUGAUCGUUGCCAAAACUGAGGGGGAAGGGACUUCCUCCUCUUUCUUCUCUAGUUACUCUUCACUUGCUAACGUAGUAUUUCCAAGAUAGCCAGUUCCUUGUCUGUGUCAGUGAAUGUUGGAAAAGGACUUGACUGGUGACUAGGUAAUGAUGGAACAGAUUGCUUUGCAAAAGAGUGCACAUGGAAAGUCUUCAAAGUAAUACCAGUCACGAUGAGGAUGUUGUGGAAUAAAUUUAAUGCAAGGUCAUAGUUUUUUGUCACCACUUAGAUAUGGAUCUGAUCUGUUUAUUAGAAUUAAAAAAAAAAAAGGUUGGUCAAUGAAUAA
Molecule: RNA transcript, 2253 nt
Organism: Pezoporus occidentalis (night parrot)
Lineage: Eukaryota; Metazoa; Chordata; Aves; Psittaciformes; Psittacidae
Exons: 2
Source: RefSeq, a predicted model, not a curated record